RNAcentral lists this ribosomal RNA (1243 nucleotides) under Aster yellows phytoplasma. RNAcentral describes it as "bacterial SSU rRNA". It matches the Rfam family "Bacterial small subunit ribosomal RNA", at positions 156 to 1399 of the family's 1533-position model. The record is from RNAcentral. RNAcentral also lists the same sequence under 1 other name. Lineage: Bacteria; Bacillati; Mycoplasmatota; Mollicutes; Acholeplasmatales; Acholeplasmataceae.
ACGACUGCUAAGACUGGAUAGGAGACAAGAGGGCAUCUUCUUGUUUUUAAAAGACCUAGCAAUAGGUAUGCUUAGGGAGGAGCUUGCGUCACAUUAGUUAGUUGGUGGGGUAAAGGCCUAACAAGACUAUGAUGUGUAGCCGGGCUGAGAGGUUGAACGGCCACAUUGGGACUGAGACACGGCCCAAACUCCUACGGGAGGCAGCAGUAGGGAAUUUUCGGCAAUGGAGGAAACUCUGACCGAGCAACGCCGCGUGAACGAUGAAGUAUUUCGGUACGUAAAGUUCUUUUAUUAGGGAAGAAUAAAUGAUGGAAAAAUCAUUCUGACGGUACCUAAUGAAUAAGCCCCGGCUAACUAUGUGCCAGCAGCCGCGGUAAUACAUAGGGGGCAAGCGUUAUCCGGAAUUAUUGGGCGUAAAGGGUGCGUAGGCGGUUAAAUAAGUUUAUGGUCUAAGUGCAAUGCUCAACAUUGUGAUGCUAUAAAAACUGUUUAGCUAGAGUAAGAUAGAGGCAAGUGGAAUUCCAUGUGUAGUGGUAAAAUGCGUAAAUAUAUGGAGGAACACCAGUAGCGAAGGCGGCUUGCUGGGUCUUUACUGACGCUGAGGCACGAAAGCGUGGGGAGCAAACAGGAUUAGAUACCCUGGUAGUCCACGCCGUAAACGAUGAGUACUAAACGUUGGGUAAAACCAGUGUUGAAGUUAACACAUUAAGUACUCCGCCUGAGUAGUACGUACGCAAGUAUGAAACUUAAAGGAAUUGACGGGACUCCGCACAAGCGGUGGAUCAUGUUGUUUAAUUCGAAGGUACCCGAAAAACCUCACCAGGUCUUGACAUGCUUCUGCAAAGCUGUAGAAACACAGUGGAGGUUAUCAGUUGCACAGGUGGUGCAUGGUUGUCGUCAGCUCGUGUCGUGAGAUGUUGGGUUAAGUCCCGCAACGAGCGCAACCCUUAUUGUUAGUUACCAGCACGUAAUGGUGGGGACUUUAGCAAGACUGCCAGUGAUAAAUUGGAGGAAGGUGGGGACGACGUCAAAUCAUCAUGCCCCUUAUGACCUGGGCUACAAACGUGAUACAAUGGCUGUUACAAAGGGUAGCUGAAGCGCAAGUUUUUGGCGAAUCUCAAAAAAACAGUCUCAGUUCGGAUUGAAGUCUGCAACUCGACUUCAUGAAGUUGGAAUCGCUAGUAAUCGCGAAUCAGCAUGUCGCGGUGAAUACGUUCUCGGGGUUUGUACACACCGCCCGUCA